CCAGAAGAGGUGCAUCAUUCAGGUAACGGGUAGUCGACACCGCAGUCAGUGACUAUCCGCAAGGGGAGUGUAUGCCGAGAUUGUGUUGCGGCGGAUGCAACAUGAUCGGCUACGGAGGCUGAAUCCUCUGGGCUGUCACCGUUAUCGGUGGAGCGCUUCUGGGU
RNAcentral lists this non-coding RNA (164 nucleotides) under uncultured Plesiomonas sp. RNAcentral's name for it is "Lysine riboswitch". It matches the Rfam family "Lysine riboswitch aptamer". From Rfam's summary of the family: Riboswitches are metabolite binding domains within certain messenger RNAs that serve as precision sensors for their corresponding targets. Allosteric rearrangement of mRNA structure is mediated by ligand binding, and this results in modulation of gene expression. The record is from RNAcentral. Lineage: Bacteria; Pseudomonadati; Pseudomonadota; Gammaproteobacteria; Enterobacterales; Enterobacteriaceae.